AUUGAACGCUGGCGGAAUGCUUUACACAUGCAAGUCGAACGGCAGCACGGACUUCGGUCUGGUGGCGAGUGGCGAACGGGUGGGUAAUGUAUCGGAACGUGCCCAGUCGUGGGGGAUAACGCAGUGAAAAUUACGCUAAUACCGCACACGAUCUAUGGAUGAAAGCGGGGGAUCGCAAGACCUCGCGCGAUUGGAGCGGCCGAUAUCAGAUUAGGUAGUUGGUGGGGUAAAGGCCCACCAAGCCAACGAUCUGUAGCUGGUCUGAGAGGACGACCAGCCACACUGGAACUGAGACACGGUCCAGGCUCCUACGGGAGGCAGCAGUGGGGAAUUUUGGACAAUGGGCGAAAGCCUGAUCCAGCCAUUCCGCGUGCAGGAUGAAGGCCCUCGGGUUGUAAACUGCUUUUGUACAGAACGAAAAGGUUUCUACUAAUACUAGGAGCUCAUGACGGUACUGUAAGAAUAAGCACCGGCUAACUACGUGCCAGCCGCCGCUGUAA
Molecule: ribosomal RNA, 500 nt
Filed under: uncultured bacterium
Lineage: Bacteria
Description: partial 16S ribosomal RNA
Rfam family: Bacterial small subunit ribosomal RNA
Source: RNAcentral